RNAcentral lists this ribosomal RNA (491 nucleotides) under uncultured bacterium. RNAcentral's name for it is "partial 16S ribosomal RNA". It matches the Rfam family "Bacterial small subunit ribosomal RNA", at positions 29 to 506 of the family's 1533-position model. The record is from RNAcentral.
AGUGAACGCUGGCGGUAGGCCUAACACAUGCAAGUCGAACGGCAGCACAGUAAGAGCUUGCUCUUACGGGUGGCGAGUGGCGGACGGGUGAGGAAUACAUCGGAAUCUACUUUUUCGUGGGGGAUAACGUAGGGAAACUUACGCUAAUACCGCAUACGACCUACGGGUGAAAGCAGGGGAUCUUCGGACCUUGCGCGAUUGAAUGAGCCGAUGUCGGAUUAGCUAGUUGGCGGGGUAAAGGCCCACCAAGGCGACGAUCCGUAGCUGGUCUGAGAGGAUGAUCGGCCACACGGGAACUGAGACCCGGCCCAGACCCCUACGGGAGGCAGAGGGGGGGAAUAUUGGAAAAUGGGCGCAAGCCUGAUCCAGCCAUACCGCGGGGGUGAAGAAGGCCUUCGGGUUGUAAAGCCCUUUUGUGGGGAAAAAAAAGCAGCAGGUUAAUCCCCCGCUUUUCUGGCGGGACCCAAAGAAAAAGCACCGGCAAACUUCGG